UCCCUGGUGGUCCAGUGGGUAAGACUCUGUGCUCACAAAGCAGGGGGUCCGGGUUCGAUCCCCGGUCAGGGAA
Molecule: non-coding RNA, 73 nt
Organism: Physeter macrocephalus (sperm whale)
Lineage: Eukaryota; Metazoa; Chordata; Mammalia; Artiodactyla; Physeteridae
Source: the annotation of a RefSeq genome assembly